RNAcentral lists this ribosomal RNA (482 nucleotides) under uncultured bacterium. RNAcentral describes it as "partial 16S ribosomal RNA". It matches the Rfam family "Bacterial small subunit ribosomal RNA", at positions 28 to 507 of the family's 1533-position model. The record is from RNAcentral.
GACGAACGCUGGCGGCGUGCUUAACACAUGCAAGUCGAACGCUGAAGCUCAGCUUGCUGGGUGGCUGAGUGGCGAACGGGUGAGUAACACGUGAGUAACCUGCCCUCUUCUUUGGGAUAACGCCCGGAAACGGGUGCUAAUACUGGAUAUUCACUGAUUCUCGCAUGGGGGUUGGUGGAAAGGUUUUUUCUGGUGGGGGAUGGGCUCGCGGCCUAUCAGCUUGUUGGUGGGGUGAUGGCCUACCAAGGCUUUGACGGGUAGCCGGCCUGCGAGGGUGACCGGUCACAGUGGGACUGAGAUACGGACCAGACUCCUACGGGAGGCAGCAGUGGGGAAUAUUGCACAAUGGGCGAAAGCCUGAUGCAGCGACGCCGCGUGAGGGAUGGAGGCCUUCGGGUUGUAAACCUCUUUCGCUCAUGGUCAAGCCGCAGCUUGGGGUUGUGGUGAGGGUAGUGGGUAAAGAAGCGCCGGCUAACUACGUG